GGGUAUGUAGCUCAGUGGUUAGAGCACUUACCUAAUGUGUGAGGCCCUAGGUUCAGUUCCCAGCACACACA
This 71-nucleotide transfer RNA is filed under the name Heterocephalus glaber (naked mole-rat). It matches the Rfam family "tRNA". From Rfam's summary of the family: Transfer RNA (tRNA) molecules are approximately 80 nucleotides in length. Their secondary structure includes four short double-helical elements and three loops (D, anti-codon, and T loops). Further hydrogen bonds mediate the characteristic L-shaped molecular structure. tRNAs have two regions of fundamental functional importance: the anti-codon, which is responsible for specific mRNA codon recognition, and the 3' end, to which the tRNAs corresponding amino acid is attached (by aminoacyl-tRNA synthetases). tRNAs cope with the degeneracy of the genetic code in two manners: having more than one tRNA (with a specific anti-codon) for a particular amino acid; and 'wobble' base-pairing, i.e. permitting non-standard base-pairing at the 3rd anti-codon position. Lineage: Eukaryota; Metazoa; Chordata; Mammalia; Rodentia; Bathyergidae. The record is from Rfam by way of RNAcentral.